GGAGAAGUGGCCGAGUGGUCGAAGGCACUCCCCUGCUAAGGGAGCAUGCGGUCAAAAACUGCAUCGAGGUUCGAAUCCUCCUUCUCCGCCA
This 91-nucleotide transfer RNA is filed under the name Rhodocyclaceae bacterium. RNAcentral describes it as "tRNA-Ser". It matches the Rfam family "tRNA". Rfam says of the family: Transfer RNA (tRNA) molecules are approximately 80 nucleotides in length. Their secondary structure includes four short double-helical elements and three loops (D, anti-codon, and T loops). The record is from RNAcentral. Lineage: Bacteria; Pseudomonadati; Pseudomonadota; Betaproteobacteria; Rhodocyclales; Rhodocyclaceae.